AAAAAAAAACGAAAAUGUAUCAAAUAGAAGUGAGCGAGAGUGCAAGAACUCGAGUUUUACCGAAGAAUGAGAUGAAACCCUAGAAAUCGCGAUCGCUCUCUCUAUUCUAGAAAAACCAAAAAAUCAAAAGUAUGUAAAAUGUGUAACUCUGUAAAAGUCUCUGUAAGUCUCUCUAUGUACAUGACAACAAUCCCUUUAUAUAGGGUCUGAAAAGAAAAGUGGGAAAAUGGAAAAAAAAUAGAACCUUCAUCAUAUCUUCCUCUUCAUCCAAUGGCCCCUUCUUCACUUUGCUUCUCAACCCUCCGAUCCUCUUGCUGCUUUCUUUUCCGAUUAAGCCUCUCGCACGUGCACUACUCUUCACUAAGCUUCUGGUCGAGUAACAUUUAGGCCAUGGACCCUCUUUCUCUAGCUUCGCUCUCUCCUACACAAGCCCUAGCUCUAGGGAGGGUUUUCUGCCAAAAUAAAGUCUCCAGCUCGAGCAAAGUCCAAGGCAGCAACAGACUAGCCAAAACGCACAGUUUCAUUGAAUCCCAUUCUAUUUCUUGCAACAACGUCAUCCAAAACGCAGUCGUUUUACUAAAGGGAAGUCAACCAGCUGCGACCCAAAUUUGUUUCCAAUCUAUCCAGUCUUUUGCUAUUCAAAUAAUCACAAUGGUGGCAGUAGAGCCAAACCAGCAACGGUCCAACACUCUUCAUCCCUUAAGCCCAAUCAAAUUUCACCAGCAGCCCAAUUGUAAACACAUCCCUGC
RNAcentral lists this long non-coding RNA (749 nucleotides) under Vigna radiata. RNAcentral describes it as "long non-coding RNA (VRAD_LNC016328)". The record is from RNAcentral. Lineage: Eukaryota; Viridiplantae; Streptophyta; Magnoliopsida; Fabales; Fabaceae.